Molecule: ribosomal RNA, 465 nt
Filed under: uncultured bacterium
Lineage: Bacteria
Description: partial 16S ribosomal RNA
Rfam family: Bacterial small subunit ribosomal RNA
Source: RNAcentral
CCUACGGGCGGCAGCAGUAGGGAAUAUUGCUCAAUGGGGGAAACCCUGAAGCAGCAACGCCGCGUGGAGGAUGAAGGUUUUCGGAUCGUAAACCUCUGUCAGCAGGGAAGAACGGUCACUGUGCUAAUCAGCAGUGAAUUGACGGUACCUGCAAAGGAAGAACCGGCUAACUCCGUGCCAGCAGCCGCGGUAAUACGGAGGGUGCGAGCGUUAAUCGGAAUUACUGGGCGUAAAGCGCUCGUAGGCGGUAUGUCAAGUCAAGGGUGAAAUCCCCGCGCUCAACGUGGGAACUGCCUUUGAAACUGGCAAACUGGAGUGUGUGAGAGGAUAGUGGAAUUCCAGGUGUAGGAGUGAAAUCCGUAGAUAUCUGGAGGAACAUCAGUGGCGAAGGCGACUAUCUGGCACAUAACUGACGCUGAGGAGCGAAAGCGUGGGUAGCAAACAGGAUUAGAUACCCCAGUAGUC